RNAcentral lists this ribosomal RNA (301 nucleotides) under uncultured bacterium. RNAcentral's name for it is "partial 16S ribosomal RNA". It matches the Rfam family "Bacterial small subunit ribosomal RNA", at positions 509 to 807 of the family's 1533-position model. The record is from RNAcentral.
CAGCCGCCGCGGUAAUACGUAGGGUGCGAGCGUUAAUCGGAAUUACUGGACGUAAAGCGUGCGCAGGCGGUUUUGUAAGACAGGCGUGAAAUCCCCGGGCUCAACCUGGGAAUGGCGCUUGUGACUGCAAAGCUAGAGUGCGGCAGAGGGGGAUGGAAUUCCGCGUGUAGCAGUGAAAUGCGUAGAUAUGCGGAGGAACACCGAUGGCGAAGGCAAUCCCCUGGGCCUGCACUGACGCUCAUGCACGAAAGCGUGGGGAGCGAACAGGAUUAGAUACCCGAGUAGUCCCUGUCUCUUAUAC